Molecule: ribosomal RNA, 253 nt
Filed under: uncultured bacterium
Lineage: Bacteria
Description: partial 16S ribosomal RNA
Rfam family: Bacterial small subunit ribosomal RNA
Source: RNAcentral
UACGUAGGGUGCGAGCGUUGUCCGGAUUUAUUGGGCGUAAAGAGCGUGUAGGCGGUUCGGUAAGUCUGUCGUGAAAUCCUGAGGCUCAACCUUGGACGUGCGAUGGAUACUGCCGGGCUAGAGGAUGGUAGAGGCGAGUGGAAUUCCCGGUGUAGCGGUGAAAUGCGUAGAUAUCGUAAGGAAGACCAGUGGCGAAGGCGGGUCUCUGGACAGUUCCUGACGCUGAGGCACGAAGGUCAGGGGAGCAAACGGG